This 28060-nucleotide long non-coding RNA is filed under the name Daucus carota (carrot). RNAcentral's name for it is "long non-coding RNA (DCAR_LNC000858)". Lineage: Eukaryota; Viridiplantae; Streptophyta; Magnoliopsida; Apiales; Apiaceae. The record is from RNAcentral.
GGGUCAUAUUAGGUUUCUUGAUCUCCAAUACAAUAAGCUGAAUGGAUCAUUGCCCACCUUGAUGUGUAAUUCCAGCUCUCUUUAUAUUCUAAAUCUCUCUCACAACAAUUUGAGUGGUGUACUACCCAGUUGUCCUACAAAUUUGACUCGUCUUUCAGUGUUGGAUCUGCGGAGGAAUAAAAUUCAGGGAAACAUUCCAGCAACCUUGUCAAAUUUCCGUAACCUGGAAACUAUUAAUUUGAAUGGAAACCGAUUACAAGGAAGCAUUCCUUCUUCUUUUGCUGAAUUUGAUUCUUUAGCCAUUCUUGAUCUUGGAAAUAAUAAGAUAAAUGAUACAUUCCCCCGGUGUUUGGAAGCUCUUCCAAAUCUUCAAGUUCUUGUUCUCAAAUCAAACAAGUUUUAUGGUCUUAUAAACACUAGUUCUAAGAUUGUAUACCCAUUUCCUAGAUUGAGAAUCAUUGAUCUGUCGGACAAUGAGUUUUCCGGUCCACUGCCAGCGAAAUACUUCAGAAACUUCAAGGCUAUGAUGAAUAGUGAUGUAAGCAAAAUAGAUCGCAGUUAUAUGAAUUAUAGUUCCUAUUACAGUGAUUCCACGACUCUGGUGAUUAAAGGAGUAGACAUGGAGUUGGUAAAGAUAUUAACUAUUUUUACAACCAUGGAUGUCUCAAGGAACCAUUUUGAAGGGGAGAUUGUAGAAUCAAUUGGAAAUCUGGUGUCACUUAGACUUCUCAAUUUAUCUCACAAUCAUCUCAGAGGCCGCAUACCAUUCAUGAUUGGAAAUUUGUCAAUGCUGGAAUCACUAGACCUCUCAUUCAACCAACUUGAAGGAGAAAUUCCGCAACAGCUCACCAGUAUAUAUACACUUGAACGUCUUAAUCUGUCAUGCAACCAACUCAGUGGUCGUAUUCCACAAGGUUCUCAGUUUAAUACAUUUGAUAAUGAUAGCUAUGCUGGUAACUUGGGGCUGUGUGGAAAUCCAUUGUCCAAAAAGUGUGAACCUGAUAUUGUGGAGAAAGAAAGUGACGAAGAUGAGGAUGAUGAUUACUUCUUUAGUGGAUUUACUUGGGAAGCGGUGGUGAUUGGAUAUGGGUGUGGAGUGGUGCCUGCAUUUAUCACUGGCUACCUGAUGUUGUUGGCACGGAAACCAAAAUGGUUUGCUGGAAUCAUUGGCAGGGAAUUGGGCCUGAAGAUCAGGAGGAUGGAGAUUAGAAUGCGAUAACUAAAGGUUUGCUGUAAUCUAUAUCCCAUUUGUAGGUCUUCAAUAUUCAGUAAUAAUAUAGUAAUAUCUGCUAUCAUAUAAUUCUAUAUUUGCAGAUUGGAGAGGCAUGAACAUUUUGGCAUGUAAGUUGAUGGGACAAGCAGGAUUCAGAUGCACAUGAAUCAACUACUUCGGUGUUGUAGGCAGCUAGGUUAAUAAACCACUACUUGAGCUGUUAAGCAUCUUUGGUCAUUUUAAAUAUAAAUUGUACAAUAAAAGAUACUUACUCUGCACAUAUUCUAAGUUCCAUAUACAAGUUCUGUAUUGUUUAGUUACUCUGCACAAACUCUAAGUUAGUUUCAACCACUGGGGUGUAAGCAGCCAAGUUAAUAAACCAGCAGUUUCUGUAGCUUUCACAACGUUGCUUCAUAUUAUUUUCCCCCUUGUUAGAUGAGCAAUAUAUUUGUGGAAUGGAUGUACCUGAAUUUGGUAUCCGAAGCUUAGUUAUAGAAAUUGUAGAUCAGCUAGUUUGCAACUUACUGGAAUGCUUUCCAUUGGACUUGAUUUACUCGUAGAGAAGCAGCACGCAAUGUUAAGGAAGGCCUGAUACAUAAUGUAUUUAAGAUAAUGUUUUGCAUCAAUUAUUACAAAAAGCUACUACUUUAAAUUGAUGAACAUUUACUAUAGCAGUACUGUGGUAUUAAAGUGAGUACUAAUAUUAGUGGCGGAGGCAGAACACAAUGUUAGGGGGGCACUUUUUAAUUUUUAACAUUCUAGGGGCAAUUUUUAACAUUCCAGGGGACACAAAAAAUAAUAUUUUGUAGAUUAAUAUUAUCAAAUAGAGUUAAGUUCUAUGGAGUACAUAAAAACAUUAGAGUAUUGGAGUACAAAUCAUAAUUUUUUUUAGUUUGAUUCUAUAUAAUAUCUUUGAAUAUCCAAAUUUUGAUAUAAUCUAUCAUUUAUAAGUUGUGUUGCACAUAAUUGUCAAUUAAUCAUUAAUAUCUUUCAACUUUAACAAAGAUUAAGAUUAUUGUUCUGCUUAUUAGUUAUAUUGCAGAACAUAGAGUCCUAUGAUUUAUAAAAGUAAUUAUUCUACCAUUUGAUCAUGAUGUUUAUGUUGCAGAACAUAAUGUGCAGGUUGUCAAAUAUUUACAAAUAUUAUUGGACAAAAAAAUUGAAAUUUAGAUGACUAAAUUACAUUUUAUCAAACUUUGUACUCCAAUACUCCAAUUUUUUUUUGUACUCCAUAGAACUUAACUCUUAUCAAAUAUAUGGAUCUUAUAUAAAAACAUACACAUUUUUCUGAAACUUAUGAGGGCAUGGGCACCCAGAGGCCCCCAUGUCCCUCCGCCUCUGCUAAUAUAAGAUGUUAGUCGAGUUCGAAGAAGUUUUGGAAUUCUUUUUAUUGAGAGUUUUUGCAAAACGUGGUUAGGAAAUUGAGAAUUUUGAGUUUUAAAAUUAGCUGUAAAAAAUAAUCGGUCAAUUGUAUUAGAUAUUACAUGCAUUUGAGUUUUAAAAUUAGGUGUAAAAAAUAAUGGGUCAACUGCAACAGAAAUGAAUUGGUUUGGUUUCACCCGGAAGAGUUCUGCACUUCACACUCUAGAUUCCAGAAAUAAAAAAAUUCAAAUAUAAAAUGUCAAAUAUUUUAGUUUAUACUCCCUCCGUCCAUUUUAGAUUUUUAGUUGUCACUGCCGGUCAAAUUGACCAAAAUUUGACUAAAAUUUAUUAAUAUUUUAUUAAUUGAAAAAAUAAAAAAAUUAUGUUACCACAAAUUACUUUCAAUCUACAUGAAAUUUUCAAUUUUUUAAAAUAAUGAAGAAGUAACUUGUAAUCUUUGAUCAAAAAUUAGUUAAUUUGACAUAAAAAAAAAAUUGUUACAACUAAAAUGGACCAAGGAAGUACAUAAGAUUUGCUAGUUACCUGCUUACCUUCACUCCUUAUGUCUUAAGCCACUCUUUAUUAUUUUUGAUUACAUAAUAAAUAUGUUUAAACUUUUAACUUUUUAUAUUUAAUAAAUUUAUAUAAUUUAAUUAUUAAAUUUUUUGAUUUGUAUUAAGUUUAAUUUAUAGAUACAUUUAUAUCAAAAUUACUAAAAUCAAUCAAAAUUUUAAUAUUUUGAUUCAGUAACCAGAAUAUAAAUAUAUUUAACUUUUGAAAUGAUAUAUAAAUAGUUUAUGAUUAAAAAAAAUUAAUAAGUAACUUGCACAAUUUCUCUUAAUUACAGUAAUAAAUCUCUUAUUAGUACUUUCAACUAAAUAUUUCUCCCAAACACUUAUAAUUUAUGUCCAAUUUUCAUAUUAUUUCUUUUAGAAAGAUUGUUGUAUUAUUUUAAAUUUUAGUAAUUAAAUCAGUUUUAUUUUUAUGAAUUCCAAAUUUAAAAACCUUAAUAUUUUUGUCACGCUACUUCUUAUUUGUAAUACAAAUUAUUUCUAGAUAAAAUUAAUAUAUUAAUAAAUAUAGUGUAAUUAACUACAUAUAAUACAUUGAAAUUAAAUAAAUAUGCUCUGUACAUUUUUUUCACAUGCAAAAAACUGCACUGUUUCGGUUUAAGCAAAGCUUGAUAAUCAGGACUCCUAGCUGGAAUGGCGAGUAUUAUUCCUACGAAGAAGAUGAUGUUCAUGAUAUCCCUUCACCCCCAAAGACAAUGAAUUGGAGCAUGAAUUCUGAUUACUGUGCAUGUGGGAUGGAGUUAGCUGCGACGAGAAUACAGGGGACCUAACCGGACUGGAUUUAAGCUGCAGUCAUCUGGUGCAUUGGAAUGAAAUUAUAGAACUUCUUCAGAGCCUGAUGCUCUCGAGGAUGCAGUAAUGAACAAGCCUAAUGAUGAUCAUGAGUCAUAACUCCGUCCUCGAGAGCCUGAUGCUCUCGAGGAUGCACUAAUGAACAAGCCUAAUGAUGAUCAUGAGUCAUAACUCCGUCCUUGAAUAAAGUGUCAUGAAACAUAUUUUGUAUUACAUUUUGUAUUAUUGGAAACUUGAUUUGAAACCAAAAUAGUUUGGUGGAAUCAUUGCCAGGGUAUUGGGUCUGAAGAUCGAGGAUGGAGAAUAAAUUGAUUUUGUUCAAAUAUUUAACACAAGCCCAUCAUCAUUAUCCAACACAAGCCCGGUCCAGUAUAGAGUUCUGGCAACUCCAUUGUUGAACACUUCUGUUGAAGUUGGCCUGUCUGGCAGACAAGAGGCCCUGUUUUAGAGGUGAUAUAUGCGCACAGGUAAAAAAUGUAUAUUUCUUCCAAUAGAUUACAUCUCUUUUCUUCAAAAUUUAUUGUAGUUUCAAAAAGUAGCAUUUGAGAACUCAUUCUAUUCCCCUUUUAAAUACUUGGUCUUGGUCAAUACAAACACGAUUAAGACCGGUGUCAAUAUCCCUCAUAAUUUUUCCACUCCUUUGAAUGGCAUUCUACAAUCCACAUAUCAGACUCAUAAAUAAUUAGUUGAAAUCAUUACCAUAGUCCAUAGCGAAAAGACUUUCACCAUUGAACCAUUGCAUAGAUAAUUGAAGAAAGAAACUUCAACAUAUUUGCAUAUCUUUAUCUAUCUUUUUUUCUAGUCAUCAACAGGCACAAGCUGUUGAUUUUUAUAUGUUCUUAAUUGGUAUAAGCAUUUAAGGUGAGUGUUGAUAUUUCUCACUAAUCUUCUUCUGCUCUAAGUGACAUAUUAUUACAAUCCACAAAUUAGUAGACAGACUAAUAUGGUUAGUUGAGACCAUCAAUCUGGAGAACAGACUAAUACAUGUGUAGUAAUCUGAUCAUCAUUUAUUUGAUUACAAUAGAAAUUCGGCUUUGUUUAGUUCCAUCCUCGGGCUCUUCAUUUCUAAACAUAUUUGCUGAUACUUUUUAUUGUACAAUUUAGAAUAUUCCAUAAAAUUUUAUAUUCGGUGCUAGAUGAAUUUAUGUCUUGUUUUCAUUCCAUUCAUGAACUAAUGAAAAUUUUAAAAUUGGGUCAUAUUAGGCAGUGAUGCCACCUUUCUGGACCUGCAUUUCAUGACCACAAACUCCUAUUGUGCCAAAAAAUUCCAGCUGUUUCGUGAGAUUUUUCUACGUGCUCUUUUGUUCGGACUUGUUUGCUGAAUCCCACAAUAGACAAUAUUGAUGUUAACAACUCUUGCGUCAGUUACUAGACUCGUUGUUAGUAGCCCAUUCUUUACGGCAGACGUGGAAUUUACUUGAAGAAAUGAAGGUGUAAGAACAGGGGCGGAUCCAGCCUUCGCAUCUCACCCGGGCUGAAAGCCUGAAACACUUAUAACCUUGAAGGUAUACAGUGGAGGUGAAGAGGGGAAAAAAAUAUAUAUGGUACUGACAGUGACAUGGAAAUAUGGAUAUUAUUCUUUUAACCUGCUGCAGGGACUAUCAGCUGGUAAAUUCAUGUCAAAUCAAUUUUUUUGACNGCCGAGACGAGUCGGCGAGACGGCCGAGACGAGUCGUCGACGUGCGAGACGAGUUGGCGCGAGACGGGCGAAGCGAGACAUCUCCGAGACGAGUCAUGCGUGCGUGCCGAUACGUACGAGCCGAGACGAGGCGUCCACGUUUUCUCAAACCCAGGCUCGUGAUCGCCUCGUCUAUUUNACUAUAACUAAUAAUUCAUGUCAAAAUCAAGAUUAUAAAAAUUAAUAAUAUGACUACAAAAAUAAAAUAUAAACGUAAGGUAAUAACAUAUGGUAAACCUGAAUAUAUUUUAGUAACAAUUGUUUUGACAUAGUUAGAUUAAGGGAUUAAAUUAUUAUAUAAAAUAAUAAAAGUAGCUAUAUAUUAAAAAAAUAAAGCUAUAUUUAUAUAAUUAGUUUAAACACGUCAAAAGGUCAAAAAGCAAGAUUAAACCGCUUAGCUUAUAUAAACACCAUGACCGACUGUUUGACCUAAACUAAACAAAUUUAUAUUUAAAAUACAAAAUUACAUGAAUAAAACCGAAAUAGGGUUACAAUUCAUAAAAGUUAACAGCAACUCUGGUUAAUUAAUAAAGUUCCAGACCCAAAACUGAGAAAAGUGUCGGGCUUUUUAAAAUUUUAGACCGGGCUAAAGAUCAGUAAACUUUCGUCGAGGCUGGUAAAAUUUUUUGUAUCAUAAAACUCACCCGGGCUUUAGCCCACCGGAGCCCAUACAUAGAGAAAGUUGAGAACAUUUUGUUGAUUAUUCCCUUCCCUAGAAACUGCACUCCGCCAUCAAAGUACCUUUCAAAGACUCCAGCAUCAUUUCUUGAUUAUCAAAGUCUUCGUCUUUGUCAUCUCCUGCUCUGAAAGUGUUUCUAUUGCAGACCACAUAUUAGUAGACAGACUACUAAAAUUCAUCUAAAAUGACCUCUCUGCGUGGGCUCUUUUGAACAAUCAGGGUUGGACAUGAUUCUACACGCAUCAGAGAAAAACUAUCAGCUGGCUAAANUCUUCAAAAUUUAUUGUAGUUUCAAAAAGUAGCAUUUGAGAACUCAUUCUAUUCCCCUUUUAAAUACUUGGUCUUGGUCAAUACAAACACGAUUAAGACCGGUGUCAAUAUCCCUCAUAAUUUUUCCACUCCUUUGAAUGGCAUUCUACAAUCCACAUAUCAGACUCAUAAAUAAUUAGUUGAAAUCAUUACCAUAGUCCAUAGCGAAAAGACUUUCACCAUUGAACCAUUGCAUAGAUAAUUGAAGAAAGAAACUUCAACAUAUUUGCAUAUCUUUAUCUAUCUUUUUUUCUAGUCAUCAACAGGCACAAGCUGUUGAUUUUUAUAUGUUCUUAAUUGGUAUAAGCAUUUAAGGUGAGUGUUGAUAUUUCUCACUAAUCUUCUUCUGCUCUAAGUGACAUAUUAUUACAAUCCACAAAUUAGUAGACAGACUAAUAUGGUUAGUUGAGACCAUCAAUCUGGAGAACAGACUAAUACAUGUGUAGUAAUCUGAUCAUCAUUUAUUUGAUUACAAUAGAAAUUCGGCUUUGUUUAGUUCCAUCCUCGGGCUCUUCAUUUCUAAACAUAUUUGCUGAUACUUUUUAUUGUACAAUUUAGAAUAUUCCAUAAAAUUUUAUAUUCGGUGCUAGAUGAAUUUAUGUCUUGUUUUCAUUCCAUUCAUGAACUAAUGAAAAUUUUAAAAUUGGGUCAUAUUAGGCAGUGAUGCCACCUUUCUGGACCUGCAUUUCAUGACCACAAACUCCUAUUGUGCCAAAAAAUUCCAGCUGUUUCGUGAGAUUUUUCUACGUGCUCUUUUGUUCGGACUUGUUUGCUGAAUCCCACAAUAGACAAUAUUGAUGUUAACAACUCUUGCGUCAGUUACUAGACUCGUUGUUAGUAGCCCAUUCUUUACGGCAGACGUGGAAUUUACUUGAAGAAAUGAAGGUGUAAGAACAGGGGCGGAUCCAGCCUUCGCAUCUCACCCGGGCUGAAAGCCUGAAACACUUAUAACCUUGAAGGUAUACAGUGGAGGUGAAGAGGGGAAAAAAAUAUAUAUGGUACUGACAGUGACAUGGAAAUAUGGAUAUUAUUCUUUUAACCUGCUGCAGGGACUAUCAGCUGGUAAAUUCAUGUCAAAUCAAUUUUUUUGACUUUAUAUAUAUAUAUACUCAUUUACAUAUAAAAAAAAUAUAAAAUUUAAGAAUCUCAAAUAUUGGAGGUAGCCUGAAUAACAUUUGUUUGUCACUAAUACAAUAAAAAUUAAUUUUGUAUGAUCAGCUACAUAGACUAAAUCAUUUUAUUUUAUUUAUUUUAAACUAUAACUAAUAAUUCAUGUCAAAAUCAAGAUUAUAAAAAUUAAUAAUAUGACUACAAAAAUAAAAUAUAAACGUAAGGUAAUAACAUAUGGUAAACCUGAAUAUAUUUUAGUAACAAUUGUUUUGACAUAGUUAGAUUAAGGGAUUAAAUUAUUAUAUAAAAUAAUAAAAGUAGCUAUAUAUUAAAAAAAUAAAGCUAUAUUUAUAUAAUUAGUUUAAACACGUCAAAAGGUCAAAAAGCAAGAUUAAACCGCUUAGCUUAUAUAAACACCAUGACCGACUGUUUGACCUAAACUAAACAAAUUUAUAUUUAAAAUACAAAAUUACAUGAAUAAAACCGAAAUAGGGUUACAAUUCAUAAAAGUUAACAGCAACUCUGGUUAAUUAAUAAAGUUCCAGACCCAAAACUGAGAAAAGUGUCGGGCUUUUUAAAAUUUUAGACCGGGCUAAAGAUCAGUAAACUUUCGUCGAGGCUGGUAAAAUUUUUUGUAUCAUAAAACUCACCCGGGCUUUAGCCCACCGGAGCCCAUACAUAGAGAAAGUUGAGAACAUUUUGUUGAUUAUUCCCUUCCCUAGAAACUGCACUCCGCCAUCAAAGUACCUUUCAAAGACUCCAGCAUCAUUUCUUGAUUAUCAAAGUCUUCGUCUUUGUCAUCUCCUGCUCUGAAAGUGUUUCUAUUGCAGACCACAUAUUAGUAGACAGACUACUAAAAUUCAUCUAAAAUGACCUCUCUGCGUGGGCUCUUUUGAACAAUCAGGGUUGGACAUGAUUCUACACGCAUCAGAGAAAAACUAUCAGCUGGCUAAAGACCUCUCUGCAUCAACUCUAUUAAGAAAAGAAACUAUGGCUCAUACAGUUUAAGUUGAUAUCAAAUCGUAAAUGAGAAUACUUGCAGUUUUAAAUUACUGCACGCUAUUUUUUUUAACGAAAAUAUGUGCAGUUUUAACAUAGUCUAAUUAUUUUCUUGAUGACGGCUAUGCAAAUUGUGAUAGUUGAAUUUUUUUUAUGGUCUUUGACAAGCAUCAAGGAAAUUGUGAUAGUUGAAUUACCCUGAUUGUCAAAAACUACCUCGUAAUCAGAACGGGUUUUUUUUUGAGUUUGUUAAGGAUUCUCUCCAGGCAAAAGUUUCUCUUAUGCAGUUGAAGGUGAAAAUUAAGUCGUUGAAGAGGAAAUAUAAGUCUCUCAAAGAUUAUGAUGUUGUGUUUGACAAACCCAUGGAAGAGGAAUUGUUUCGCCUUUCCGAUAAGGUUUGGAGCCAAGGGAUUGAUAAUCAGGGUAAUGCUGCUAGCAAGGACAAGGAUAUAAGUAUCGAGAUCAAAGAGGAUGGAGUGAUUGAGGACUGUAGGAAGGAUAAGGAUACGAGCAUUGGGAUAAAUGAGGAUGGAGUGAAUGAGGCCGGUAGGAAGGAAAAGGAUACGAGAAUCGGGAUAAAUGGGGAUGGAGUGAAUGAGGACGGUAGGAAGGACAACGAUAUGAGCAUCGGGAUAAAUGGGGAUAUGGUAGAAGCCUCCAGGCUAAUGUGUCGAAGGGGAGGACAUGGAUGCUAUGGAAAUUUAGUUAGGAGGAAAUAUAAAUCAUGCUAACAGGAGCAGAUGAUGAACUUGAUUGCAAUGAAGAACUGAAGUUCCACAACGAGAUGAAGUCGACGAAGGAAGGUAGGAAGGACAAGGAUACGAUCAUCAGUCUUGUAUUUAGCUUGAUCGAAAAUAACUGUUCUCUUCAAAUUCUUUCCCUNUCUCUACUCUGUAGCUUACACAUCAUUGAUUCAUAUUAUUUUCCCUUAGGAACUUGAGAGACAUUUGGCAUCUAAAGAAGCUUCUCUCCCGCAAGAACCAUCACCAGAUGAUGAUAAUGCCGUUAACCUGCUUGUGCGGAUGCCGGAUGGCGGCCGGCAAGGCCGCAGAUUCCUCAAGUCCCACAAGCUUCAGGUAUUUAUUCCGUGACAAUAUUUUUCCAGUUAUUGGUUAAAAGUUGUAUAAUUGGUUGUUACUUGAUUUGCAGCAUCUUUUUGACUUCAUCGAUGUUGGUCGGUUGGUCAGACCUGGUACUUACAGACUGGUAAUCCUUCAUGUGCUUUUUUACCUUUCACACUUAAUUCUUGUGGGGGCACACUUAUAUUUUUACAAAGUUUUAAAUGACGAAUAAAUUCCAAAUAAUUUUUAUGGGGGACAGUCCCCCUUGCUAGAUCCCCUCCUGGUGUCCAAACUUUUUUUACAUUUCAUAAUUGAUUGUCUGGACCGGCAAAGAGCAAUGAAUAUUCAUUUUAGUCACAUAGGAGUGUCGGGGUUUGUAUUGUUGUUAUGCUUGAUAGUAUAUAGAGAGCUUAUUGACUAGUUGACUCAACAUCGUUUCUUUUUCCUUUCCCCCAUCUUCUCUGGUGAUUAAUGUUUGCGUGAUCCCACUAGUCCUUCCGCAAAAAAAAAAAGAAGUUAUAUUGUAUUUUUAAAAUGAAUUGCAUUUCAAACUAUUUGUUUGAUAAGUAGGGUACUCGUGUAAUUUAAUUGUAAUAUCGAUACCUUUUUUUGUAACACCAAAGAAAAAUUAGAAUCUUUAUAGUGUCAGGACUCUUGAUACUUGGUAGAUGCUUGAGAAGAAGGCUGUAUUUGAAGAUAUGGAGAAUGUGGUAACCAUAUGACUAAGGUCAACUAACUUUUGCUUGCUAAAGUGGAACUCUGUCAAAAAUUUAUCUGUAUCUAUCUCUUUUUUGUAGUCAUCAGUAGAUUUACUCUUCCAUAUGUAUCAGGGUCAAGUUGUUGAAAUAUAUCAGUCCUUAAUAGGUGUUAGCACAAUUUAGAUGAGCAAAAUAUUUAAGGAACGUAUGUACUUCAACUUGGCAUGCAAAACGAGUUAUACAAAUGGUAGAUUAGCUAGUUGGUAAUUUAAUGAGAAUCCUUUCCAUUGGACUUGAUUCAUUGAUAGAGAAGCAAAGCACAAUGUUACUUCCUGAUACAUAAUGUAUUUAUGCCUCGUAUAGAUAUAUUAUGAUUGUUAGAAUUAAACAUGUUUUAUUUUGCACAGGCAAGGCCGUAUCCAAGACGGGCUUUUGGUGUUGGUGAGAGCUCAACAACUUUUGAUGAACUUGGCCUGUCUGGCAGACAGGAGGCCUUGUUUCUGGAGUUAAUAUAGCAGAUAUAGUUAUCGUAAAAUUGUAAUAGGAUCUCGAAGAGUUUACCCAGAUGGACCAACUUUGUUUGUUAGUUGUAAAAGUUGUUUAGAGAUGGAUAUUUUGUCAAAGUUUGUAUCUAUUGGGUAUUUGGUCUUUUAGUCAGACUGUGGCUCAUACAGUUUGAAGUUGAUAUCAAAUCUUAGAUGAGAAUGUUUGCAGUUUGAAAUUACUGAACAUUGUUUCUUGAAUUCGAUAUCGAAUUUUAAACGAGAAUAUGUCCAGUUCCACUACAAGAGAAAGCGAUUCUACCAAUGGAAUUUGCUAAGGGAAAUUAGUCCGUUGGUAGUUCCCAACGGAUUUGUAAUGAUUUGACUAGUCAAUGUUCUGCCAACCAAGUCGCAACGAAAUACCCACGUUUAUUUACCAACGAAACGUUCCGUUAAGAAAUAUAACCACAUAAUGGAAUAGUAACAAAAGGCCAAGGAAUGAGCAACAGACUAGUAACGAAAAUAUCUGUUAUUACGUUCAUUGAUAUUCCGUUGAUAAAUACUAACAAUUCCGUUAGUAAUUGAUUAUUAGUUUUAUAACAUGGACAAUUGAUAUACACUACAUGAGCAGUCUCUUAUUUGACAUUUGUGUCAUGCUAAAGCCCAAUGGGCUUUAGUCGAUUAAAUUGAUUUGGGUUGUAGAAAACGGCCAAUAAUAUAAUGGACUUUGAUAUGUAUCGUAAAUAUUAAGUAAUUUUCUUGGAUUUAUGUAUAUAACAUAAUUGUUAAUUGGCUCAUCCUUAACUAGAAAUUUUAUAUUACAUUCUUAACUAGAAAUUUUAUAUUUAAAAAAAAUUAAUCUUUUAUGUGGUAUGUGGAUUUUGUAGUCAAAUGCGGUCAAUUUACUUAGCCUUUGAUCGGAUACCUACCCAAAACAUAAAAAUAUUUUUUAUUUUCGAUGAUCCAGCUAUACGGAUAUUAUUGUAAUGUGAUAAUAUUGAUUAAAUUUUUUUUUAAAAAAGUAGCAUUUUAUUUGGUAUGUGAAUUUUGUAGUCAAAUGCAAUUAAAUUACUUAGUCUCUAAUGGAAUACUUGCCCGAAACAUAAAACUAUUUUCUUAAAACACAAUUUGGACGAUCCAACCAUACAGAUGUUAUUAUAACGUGUUAAUAUUGGUUAAAAUAAUUUUUAAGAAUAUAUGUCUUUUAUUUGGUGUGUGGAUCUUGCAGUCAAAUGCGGUCAAAUUACUUAGCCUUCAAUCGAAUACUUACCCAAAACAUGAAACUGUUUUUUUAAAAAUCAUUUCGGACGAUCCAACCGUACGGAUAUUAUUGUAAUGUGAUAAUAUUGAUUAAAUUUGUUUUUGAAAAAUUUUAGCUUUUGAUUUGGUGCGUGGAUUUUGUAGUCAAAUGCGGUCAAACUACUUGGCCUUUAAUGAAAUACUUACACGAAACAUGAAAUUAUUUUUUUUUAAAACCAUUUUGGAUGAUCCAACCGUGCGGAUGUUAUUAUAACGUGUUAUAUUGAUUAAAAUAUUAUUUAAAAAAUAGCCUUUUAUUUGGUGUGUGGAUUUUGUAGUCAAAUGCUCAAAUUACUUAGCCUUUAAUCGAAUACUUACCUUAAACAUGAAACUAUUUUUAAAAAAAUUAUUUUGGAUGAUUCAAACUGUAGGGAUGUUAUUUUAACAUCUUAAUAUUGAUUAAAAUUAUUUUAAAACAAUUUAGUUUUUUUUUAUGUGUGAAUAUUUUAGUCAAGUACGAUAAAUUAUUUAUUUAGCCUUCAAUGAAAAAUUAAAAAUCCCGCACAGCCAAAAGUUUUCCCUCGUUUUGUGAAUCUUCCCCAGCCAUUUCCCCCCAACCCCAACCCCGAAAUUCACAAAACUCUCCCCCCAAAUUAGCUCGGCCUCUCCCAAAUCUCUAUCUCUCUUUGUAUAUCUUUAGGUGUGUUUUGUAGAGGCGGCCACCUCCAAAGCUUCAAAAUAAUCAAACUUAUCACCGCCGCUGUUCGAGAAUGAAUUUCUUUUAGGAGAUUCGUCGAUUUAGUUAUCAAAUUAGUUACCAUUAGGGUUCUACUCCGAUUUUCAAUAGUAUGAUGUUGGGGUUCGAUUGGUCGAUUGUCAUGUUUUAUAAGUUAUGUGGGUUCGAUUUUGAUGUUUUUACAAUUAGGUUUAUGUAUGUUUUUAUACGGGUUUCAUGUUCAUGUUUCGAUUUGUUGAUUUCCUAUUUUUCCUAUAUGUUAAUUUGUUAUUUGUGUGGAUUUUGGAUUUUGAUGUGUGUGUGUGUAAUGCCCUGUUUUUUUUUCAUUUUUUCAGGUUCGAACACUUCGAUUAGUAGCCGGAAAAACAACUGAUGCGGCAGUAGCGGCUAGCAAGGAGAUGAAUAACAAGAAAAGGCCGAUUUCGAGGUCAUCUCGUGCAAGUCUUCAGGUAUAGUUUUAUUCCUUUAUAUUUUUAAUCGACAUAAAUCUAACAAGUAAUUAUAGUUCUAACAAGUAAUUAUAGUUCUGAAUGGGGAGCUUAUUGUGAAAUUGAAUUGAGGGACAAGUUGUGUUAUUGGUUCCAGUAGAUAAAUUUAUGUUGACACUUGAUAUAUGCAUUUUUCCACUAUGAUGCUCCCUUUGGUUUGCUUAAGGUCAAGUACCGUUACUUAAUGCAUUUACAAGUAUUCCAGAACAAGUUUGUGCGCCAUAGUGCUACCUUAAUCUAUGAAUUUGAUGCCAGGCACUUUAGGUGUUAUCUCUUAUUGAUUUUUUAUUGGAGAGUUUGGGUGUUUUCUGGAAGAAGUAUAUAGUGAGAGCAGAGGUUUUCAUUUUCGUCAUGAUUUACUCUAAUGUUUCUAAUGUUCACCUGUUAACUGCUGUAGAUUUGGGCUUUAUCUAUUUCUACAUAAUUUAUUUUUGUCUUUGUUGCUGCUUCUUGAUAAUUUUCAAUAAUUGAAACUUUUGUUACAAAUAUAUGCUUGCUAGUCAAUUGUAUGUAGAAAUCUCUAACAAAACUUUAACUUUUACCUUUGAAAUUUAGUUACGAAUUUAAAGAAUUUGACUAGAACUUCAGUCGGUGGAUUCUUGACAUUUUUAUGUAAAUCAUAUAGUAUUCAGGAGUUACCCUGUAAAAUGCCCACAAAUCUUAAAUUAAUUAGAAGUCAAGUAAUAAGCUUAAGGCCUCUGAGACUGUGUCUGCAUUCUAGAUUUCAAUACAUUCUAUAUCAUAAUGUUGUUAAACUGCUUUUUAGCAAGUGCUUGAGUUUUUGGUAUCUACAUAUAAGAUUAUCUAAGAUAUCAAUUUAUUCAUGAGAGCAGGUUGAUGACAAGUACCGAUACAUGUGUGAAAAAAAAAAAGAUAACAUGGUCCAUGGAGUUGGUUCUUUGCAAUCUCUCUUUUAUAAGCCGGAGAUUCCUUGCAGUCCAUCCUUUGCUGAUGCAGAAAAUCAGAAGUUGCACGAAGAACUAAAUGUGAUGAAGGAUAAGAUGAAAGCAAUGGAGAAUCAAAUAGCUAUGGUUGUGUUAGUACUAGCUAGUUUUCAAGCCUCGUUAGUAAUUGAUGGCUCCUUUUAGAUAUAAUACUUGAACACUAUUGUAUCGGGUAACUCUUAUCUCAUUUUGAAGAUCGUAAAGAAACGUUUAUUAUGUAAAAAGAGUACACUUUUGUUAUUUCUUUAUUUGCAUUUUUAUAGACAUAAAAAUGAACAAUUCUAGAAAAUGAAAAAUUUGCACUGUAUUUGAGCAUGCAUACCAACAGAAUAUGUUUAUAUCUACUAACGGAAAUUUAACAACCGAAAGAGUCUUUUAGUUCUUUGUUGUUAAAUUUAACAAUUUUGACUAUACUUAACAUCAGAUUUUCCGUUGGGAAUAUGUUGCUAGAAUUGCCAACCGAAUAUUCUGUUGGCGGGAUGGUGUUUCUUUUGUUAUUUUGCAAAAUAGAGGUCUGUUACGAGAUUGUUACUACUCGGUUGCUAACUUAGCAACGGACACCUAAUUCGGUUGGCGAGGUGCUUCCCAACGACGUUUACUCUAACGGUCCAGUUCAGUGGGCAUUCCGUUAGGAAUCUCUUUUACCAACGGAUUUUCUUGAUUUGCCAACAUAAUAUUUCGUUGGGAAUAAUGAAAUUUCUUGUAGUGUUCUAACUUGAAAGUUAUGCAAAUUACGUUAAUAAUAUCAUCAAUUUUGAGUCUCUUGGUCUUCGGUCUUCUAUUGCAGCAUAUCAUACACUUCUCAAGUGAUUGAAAAUGAACUCUCUCCAAAAGGCAAGGGGUCUGUCGAAGUAGACCUGGAAUUGAUUUUACUUGAAGAAACAAUAAUAGUUCACCUUUUAAAGUUUUGGUCUUUGUCUUUUGUCUCUCAAAGUCUUGAUCUUUGUCGUUUACAUCUCAUACAAUUUGCUAUCGUAUUGAACACUUCACACAAUUUCAUACUAUCGUAUUGAACACUUCACACUUCACACAAUUCCAUAAUAUUGAAGAUUUUUGGCUUGAAAUAUUCUAGAGAAUAAGAUUGUACAUAAAAUCCAACAAUUUAUUUCCUUUUCUACAAUAUUACAACUCAUAUAUUUGUUGCCAAUGACUCAUUCAAUUCGCAUCAAUUACUAUCAUCUUCACUUUAUCAAAGAGUCUUGCUCUUUGUCCUCUACAUGCUUUUAUCACGGUCCCCAUGUUAGUGUGAUUUGAAAAUACUUGUGUUACAGUCCACAUAUUGAUAAAUAGACAAAUUAUAAUAUUUAGUUCAUUAAUGAAUAGAUAAGACGUUCAUGUGUAUGUAUUUGAAAAAUAAAAUAUUAUGAAGCUAAAUGAAUAAACACUUCUGAAGAGUAAAACGCGUUUCUGGUCCAUUUUGUAGCUUGAAGAAAUGAAGCAGAAGUCAAGAUUUUCUUGAAGAAACGAAAUUUUAUAAAAGUUAAAAACAAUUCGAUAAUUAUUGUCUUUUCAAAAAACGGGGCACGCAACACUCUUUUAUAUCAUCUUUCAAUUCUUAGAGUCUUCCUUCUGCUACUCCAAAAGUGGUUCUAUUAUAGGUCACAUAUUAAUAGAUCGAUACAAAUUUAUUAAAAAGAUCCUUAUUUUCAACGAUCAAUAUCAGUUUGACUAUAAAUUUAUCUGAAAUGACCCUUGUUAAUGGACUCUAGCUUAUAGGGUCAAACUUGGCUAUACAUGCCUCGGAGAAAAUUCAUCAGUUCGUAGAAGAGACCUUUCUGCAUCAACUCUAUGAAAAAUGCAGCACUUAUCAUCUAAAUAAAAAUUAGUAAGACUAUCUUAGAUUCUCUGAAGUGUUUAUAUUGCAGCCGCUUGUAUUGAAUACACACAUAAAUAACCACACAUAAUCAGGAAGGUUCGAAAUUUUUUGGUUUAACCAUAUCACCAACAUGAAGAAAAGACUUUCAAGCGUCAUAAUAGCUAAGAGCAUCUCCAACGGCAUUGGCUAUAAUCGUUGGCUAAAUUAGACAUGUAAGACAUUAUGUAAAAUUUGCUGAACCUGUAAGACAUUUUGCUUCAAUGGUAUUGGCUAUAUUAAUUAGUUGGCUAUAAUUUAAAAAUAGUAUGUUAUUAAUAUUUUAAAUUGUUAAAAUAGAAUAUAUCAGUUCAAUAUGGUAAUAAAUGAUUUACAAUCUUCCUACAGAUUUUCUUACAAACCUGUAGAGGUUCAACAAAUUUAGUCAUCCAUAGGAGGUUGGCUAAAUUUAUAGACAACAGCUGAGCAUGGUUGGAGGUGAGUUUUUGGAGCUGUUACCUAAAUUUUUUUAUUUUAAGUAUGUUAACUCACAUUUUAGCCAAGGGUUUUAGAUGGUUGGAGAUGCUUUGAGAGUUUUUUAUAUUCAGGAUAGCCCCGGUCUAGAUUAUUAUAAAAAACUUGUUUAUAUGGAGACAUAAUAAAGGUCCCAGAAUUUUUUACUCUUCAAGAUUUCCGUUUCUAGCCAAAUUUUUUGACCAUAAAUAAUAUAUUGGUUUUACCUGAAAACAAAAUUUAAAGAAAAUUCAAACUUUUUUAUUAGAGUACUUCUUUUCUUUUAUUAUUACUUCUUUUCUUUUAUUUUGAAAUUGCAAAACAGCUCAAAGUAGUUCUAAAAGAAUCAUUCUCCCCGCUAGGAUCAGUUACAAUUAAGAUUGACAAGAUGUUUUAGCUGCGAGUUCUUCAAAUUAUUGCUCGUAAGGUCCAUGACAGCUUAGAUAGUCACCAAAGCUUUGGCCUGUGGAUUAAGUUGAUGAAAUCUAGUGCAUUAAAAUCAAUGACAGCACUAUUUUAUGGGAUUGAUGCUCGCUCUUAAUAUUAUGCGUUUUUCUAAUGUGUGUGCCCAAAGACACACAAUAAACACUAAAUUUGAUAAAAAAAAUCGUAAUAUUAGUCAUUCCGCUCAUAAAUUUCAACCAGAGAAGAAAGAGCAUCGUGACUGUCAUUGUAUCCUUAAAAUUUGUUCGAUUAGGUUUUUUACAUAGUUUGCGCGUGGUCAUCAGGGUAGGCCUUCAUUAUAUUAAGCCAAUCUAGCUAGUAAUUCCAUAUUAAACAAGUUUAAAAUUUUCAAAUUUUGAUCUUAAUAAAUUUGUAAAAAUAGUAAACUUUUUCUUAUUUAUGAUAUUCACAAAUCUCUUACUUUUUUAUUACUGUAUUCAACUAAAUAUUUUUUAUAAACACUCAUAAAUGCAUCACAUCAGUUAUGAAAUUUAAAACAAAUAGUUUAUAGCCCGUGUAAGGCACGGGAGUUUUUUAAUUAUUUAUAAAUUUCUUAAAUAUAUUUUAAAUGGUGUGAAAAAAUUUAAUUUAUAAAUAAUAAAUUAAAAUUUUCAAUAAAAUAAAAUUCGAAAUUAUAAUUUGUUUGUAAGUUAGAACUGUGGUAAAUACAUCAUCAAGCCCAUUAAUGGUUUCAAAUAAACUAUUGUAAUGAAGCCAUUCUUUUUCUCGUAUGUACCGUGGCAAAGAAUUAAAUUCUGUUUAUCAAAUUUUAAUAUAUUUUGAGUGGAAUACGUUAUUGCCAACUCUUAUUAGAUUAUAUUUAUAAAUGUAUUUUAUAUUAGAAUUAUUAUAGUGUGAUUUAAAUAGUCCGCAAGGGUUAGUUUAGCUGGUUAAAAAGAGGACAUGUAUCCUCUUGGUCACAGGUUCGACUCUCAAAGGGUGGAUUAACGCUAUUGCGUGAUCCACUCCCAAAGGGUGGAUUAACCCUCCAAAGGGUAGCUGUUGCGGGUUCCUAGAUUACAAAAAAAUAAAAAAAUAUAUAAUGUGAUUUAAAUAUUUUUCAAAAAAUUUAUAUGGUUCCAAAUUAAAAUUGAUAAACAUAAUUUGUUGUGAUUUAAAUAUUUUUCAAAAAAUUUAUAUGGUUUCAAAUUAAAAUUGAUAAACAUAAUUUGUUUUUGAAUUAAGAAAAGGAAUCAUAAACAUGCAAUAAGAAGGUAGAAUCUAUUUUGGAUUAAGAAAAAGUUUUUGUAUUUGCUAAUCACAUAAAUCCGGCUUAUUAAUUUUAAAAUAUAUUAUAAAAAAAUUGUGACGGUGAGAUUUAUAUGAUUAAAAAAUUUUUGUAUUUGCUAAUCACAUAAAUCCGGCUUAUUAAUUUUAAAAUAUAUUAUAAAAAAAUUGUGACGGUGAGAUUUAUAUGAUUCUACGAAUAAAACUGGUAGAAAAUAUUUAUUUGGGAUUAAAAAAAUCAUAUACACGUGAAAGACAUAAUUUGUUUUGGAUUCAGAAAAAAAAUUAUAAAUAUGCAAGGUGAUAUCAGUUGCCUUGUAGAACAGAAGUUGAUUUUCGAAUCUAACGGUGCUUAUUUGUUCAAUAUAAGAUGCAACGGAUGAUAAACUUUUGGACCAGAGAACCAUGCGACCAAAUUAUCUCCCUUACGCUUAUUAUAUAUAAGUAUAUAAUAUGUCCAAUUUCUUUGAGAAAGAUGGUUGUAUAAUUUUUAGUUUAAAAUUUUAAUUAUUUUUAUUUUUAAUAUAAUUUACAACUAAAAAGUUUUAUUAUAUUUUGACUGCUUUGUAAUACAAUUAAAUAUAUCUUAAAUACACUUUUUCCUAUAUAUAUACGCUAACCUCGAGAGAUGUUGAAGAUCGUCCGAAACAAAAUUUGAAAGGGAAAAUGAAAAUGAGGAAUUGCAACCUCUGUUUUUUCACCAUCAGUAUGAUGCUCAUCUUCUUGAAGUUGCAGCACCACCUGGUGGCUUCUUCAUUAAGCCCCCACUUGCAGAAACUUGCCUUGUUUCACCUUAAGCAAAGCUUCACAAUCACUCCUCCUCGCUUCCCUUGCUCCUAUUAUUCCUACGAAGAUAAUGAGGGGUAUGAAAUUCCUUCUCGGCCAAAGACAAUGAGUUGGAGCAUGAGUACUGAUCACUGCACAUGGGAUGGAGUUAGCUGCGACAACAAGACAGGGGAUGUUAUCGGACUGGAUUUAAGUUGCAGUCAGCUGGAAGGAGCCAUUCUUCCUAACAGCACUCUCUUCCAACUCUCUCAUCUCCGCUUCCUCAAUCUUUCUCAUAACAACUUUUCCCUCUCCAGUCAGUUCCCUCCGGAAUUUGGUUUCUUUGCAAAAGGUCUGACGCAUCUCAACCUCUCUAAUAGUUAUUUAUCAGGGAGAGUUCCCUCUGGAAUCUCUCAUUUGUAUAAACUAGUCUCACUUGAUCUCAGUGACAAUGAUGGGACUAAACUUGAAGAAGAAGUAUUUAAAUCAAUGUUGCAGAAUUUAACGCAUCUCGGAGUGCUUAAUCUUAAUAACGUUAAUAUCUCCUCUAUUUUUCCCGUGAAUAUCUCUACUUCUUUAAGAGUUCUUCAAUUGUUGUAUACUGGUAUACACGGAGUAGUACCCCAAGAGGUUUUCCACCUUCCCAACUUGGAAUUACUUGAUUUAUUAUAUAAUUACGACCUGAGAGCUACAUUACCCAAAGUUAAGUGGGGAAGUAAAGCUACCCUCCAACACCUUCAUCUUUCAGAAAUCAACAUAGAUGGAGGUAUACCUGACUCAAUAGACUUUUUAAAGGACUCAUUAGUCAGUUUGUAUCUGGGCGGCUGUAAUUUGUCUGGGCCUAUACCAAGAUCCAUUGGGCACCUCGUUCAACUUACUCAGUUGGGCCUCCAUGAUAAUAAUCUCAAUGGCCCAAUUUUAACUUUUUUUACCAACCUUACAGACUUAAGAUAUAUCUACCUUGAAGGUAACAAUUUUACGGGUCCGUUUCCCUCUUUUCUUGCCCACUCCAGUAAACUAGUUGUGUUGCAUAUUGAGAGUAAUAGCUUUACUGGAUCCCUACCUCGUUCGUUGUUUCACCAUCCAUCCUUAGAGUACUUGUUUCUGGAACUUAAUGCAUUCACGGGUCCACUACAUGAAUUUGAUUCUUCUCGGUCCCGGCUGCAAUAUUUUUCUUGUUCCAGCAAUUUACUCAAUGGAUCCAUUCCACAUUCAUUUUCUCAACUUGUCAAUCGCACUGACCUAGAUUUUUCUUCAAACAAUUUCACCGGGGUUUUGGAUUUGGAAAUGUUUUCAGGUCUCGAAUUUCUAGAACGUCUUGAUCUUUCUGAUAACAGUCUUUCAGUGACAAGUACAAUCAGUGGCACCCUCCCUCCUACGCUUAUAUACUUGGGCUUGUCUUCUUGCAACAUGAAAGAGUUUCCUCGCUUUUGAACAGAUGCAAACAUCUUCCUGGAUUCUAUAGACCUGUCAAACAAUAAAAUUGACGGGGAAAUUCCACACUGGAUUGGGUCGCUGGGGGUGUCCUAUCUGAAUCUUUCUCACAACAAACUAAUAGGCGGUCUUGAGCAACUGCCUUGGGGUUAUAUUAAUUAUCUUGAUCUCCAAGACAAUAAGCUGAAUGGAUCGUUGCCCACCUUGAUGUGUAAUUCCAGCUCUCUUGAGAUUCUAAAUCUCUCUCACAACAAUUUGAGUGGUGUACUCCCCAUUUGUCAUACAAAUUUGACUCAGCUUUCGGUGUUGGAUCUGCGGAGGAAUAAAAUUCAAGGAAACAUUCCAGCAACCUUGUCAAAUUUCCAUAAUCUGGAAACCAUUAAUAUGAAUGGAAACCAAUUACAAGGAAGCAUUCCUUCUUCAUUUGCUGAAUUUGAUUCUUUAGCCGUUCUUGAUCUUGGAAAUAAUCAGAUAAAUGAUACAUUCCCCCGGUGUUUGGAAGCUCUUCCAAAUCUCCAAGUUCUUGUUCUCAAAUCUAACAAGUUUUGUGGUCUUAUAAACACGAGUUCUAAGAUUGUACACCCAUUUCCUAGCUUGAGAAUCAUUGAUCUGUCGGACAAUGAGUUUUCAGGUCCACUGCCAGCAAAAUACUUCAGAAACUUCAAGGCUAUAAUGAAUAGUGAUGUAAGCAAAAUAGAUCGUAGUUAUAUGAAUCAUAGUUUCUAUUACAGUGAUUCCACGGCUCUGGUGAUUAAAGGAGUAGUCAUAGAGUUGGUAAAGAUAUUAACUAUUUUUACAACCAUGGAUGUGUCAAGGAACCAGUUUGAAGGGGAGAUUGUAGAAUCAAUUGGAAAUCUGGUGUCACUUAGAUAUCUCAAUUUAUCACAUAAUCAUCUCAGAGGCCACAUACCACGGUCGAUUGGAAAAUUGACUGUGCUGGAGUCACUAGACCUCUCAUCCAAUGAACUUGAAGGAGAAAUUCCUCCGCAACUCACUGGUUUAUAUUCACUUGCAGUUCUAAAUCUUUCUUGCAACCAACUUAGAGGCCGUAUACCAGAAGGGUCACAAUUCAAUACGUUUGAAAUCUACAGCUACGCCGGGAACUUUGAAUUGUGUGGAAAACCCUUGUCAAAAAAGUGUGAAAAUUAUGUGAGGGUACACAAAGAAGACGAAGAAGAUGAGGAUGAAUAUUACUUUUUCAGUGGUUUUACAUGGGAAGCGGUGGUGAUUGGAUAUGGGUUUGGAGUGGUGCCUGCAUUUAUCGCCGGGUACUUGAUGUUGCUGGCACGGAAACCAAAAUGGUUUGCUGGAAUCAUUGGCAGGGAAUUGGGCCUCAAGAUCAGGAGGAUGGAGAUUAGAAUGCGAUAACUACAGGUUUGGUGUAAUCUGUAUCCCAUUCCCAGGUCUUGAAAAUUCUGUAAUAAUAUAGUAAUAUCUGCUCUCAUAUAAUUCUAUAUUUGCAGAUUCAGAUGGGACAAGCAGGAUUCAGAUGCAUUGCAUUGGAUUCAGAUGGGACAAGCAGGAUACAAGUUAUGUAGUAUUGUUUUGUUCCAGCUCUUAUCUGAUCUGCAAUCAAGUUAAUGAACCACUACCUCAGUUGUUAAGCAUCUUUCAGCAUUUUAAUUUUACAACUCACAAUAAAAGAUUACAUGUGUAUUAAUCUGAUCAUCAUUGGUUUAGAUCAAUAUAGAAGUUCGGCUUUGUUUAUUUCUAUCCCGGGCUCCUCAUUUUUAGAACAUAUUUGUUGAUACUUUUUAUGGAACGGUUAAGAAUAUUCCAUAGAUUUUUAUAUUCAGUGCUAGAUGAUUUUAUGUCCUGUUUUCAUUCCAAUUUCCGUUCAUGAACUAAUUAAAAAUCUGAAAGUGGGUCAUAUCUGGCAGUGAUGCCCACCUUUCUGGACCUGAAUUUCAUGACCACACAAACUCCAAUUCUGCCCAAAAAUUGCAGCUGUUUCGUAAAAUAUUUUUACGUGCUCUUUUGUUUGGACUUGUUUGCUGGACCAUGCAUAUGUUUUGAUACAAACAUCUUCGUGUAUGUUAACACUCUUGUGUCAGUUUCUGGACUCAUUGUUAGUAGCCCAUUCUUUACGGCAGACAUUGAAUUGGAUUUACUUGAAGAAAUGAAGGUUUAAGAAAGUUGAGAACAAUUUGUUGAUAAUUUCCUUCCCUAGAAACUGCACUCCAGCAUCAAAGUACCUUUCAAAGACUCCAGACAUCAUCUCUUGAUUAUCGAAGACUUGGUCUUGCAUAUACUGAUAUACAGUGAAUAUAGAUUUCUUUCAUUUCCUUGAAAUUGCAUUUUUGGAAGUAGCUCUCCAGACUCAUUCCCGUCACUUCUUAAAGUCUUAUUCCUCCUCAAUACUACAUACACGUAAUAUCACACCACUUUGCUCAUGCUCAGAUGGGUUUUUCUUACAAACCACAUAUGUUCACUUCUCAGAGUCUUAGUCCUCGUCAAUGUAUAGAGAUAAUAUCUCACCAUUUGCUAGUGCUACAAAUGGGCUUCUCCUACAACCACACAUAAUCGGAGAAAAGUCUGUCAAGUGUCAAGUGGACUUGAAAGACCCUUGUGCAUGGAUUAUUGUAUGUCAUGAAUGCCUUCUGAUAUCCCUGAAAGUGCAAGCAAGUUAUAAAAGUAGCUGGGCAGACUCUUUCUCAUCAAUACAUUCACAUUUAAAGCGGGCGUUGAUAUGCCUCCCUAAUUUUCUAAUGCCCUAGACGGAAUUCUAUUACAAUCCACAUAUGAUGGGUAGCGAUCAUCAAUUCAAAGAAGAGACUAUCAGCAGCUUGCAGGAAAUGUCCCCUCUGCAUGGAUUAUCGAAGAAAGGAACUUAUACCUAUAAAGAUGUAGAAAACCAAUGGUAAGCAUAACUGCAUAUAAGAUACAAAACUAAAUUUAAUACAAGACUCGUUCUGAGCAUUGGAAAAUAUAAUUCAUCCUGGUCUUCGUCUUCUACUUCUCCAAAUAUGCUUUUAUUGCAGCCAAUGUAUUAGUGAAAAGAAUUAAAUUUAAAUUAAUUGUAGACCGCAAAUAUAAGAUUAGGAGAGUUUCUACAACCCACAAAUUAGUAGACAGACUAAUAUGGUUAGUUGAGACCAUCAAUCUGGAGAAACUGUUUCUACAAUGACCCAUAUGUAUGAAUUAUUGAAGAAAGAAACUUAUACCUACAAUGUAAAGGAAAUGGUCACGAGUAUAUUGCAUUUUUAAUCCAAAUUGUAUAUGAUUCUCUCUGUGCUACUGAUAGUUAAUAAUAAAUCUACAACGGAACUUGCAGUUAAUCAAGGUAUUUAAGUCUACCUUUCUACAUUGUUGAAUAGUUUGAAUUAAAUAAUUGUAAUAAAUUUUUUGCUGGAUGCUGUGUGAGUUUACCAGAGCUUAUCACGGUGAGAAGUUCACUAAAGCUCUUGGAAUUAGUAAAUAAAAACUCAGGGCAGUGAAUUAGAAGUCUGAGUACAAGGCAAUGAGCAGGAAACAACAUAGGGAGUUUACAACUAGAAGUAUCUAUUCUCCCCCAGUCUUUUUGUGAACAUCAAGAGGCCAUUCAUAUUGCUCACAAACCAGUUAAAAGUGGCAGGACUACACAUAAUGAAUCACACAGUCACUUUAUGUGAGAAAAGAAAAUUGUCAGGACUGCAAUGCAUUUCUAGCCCAUUUUGUACAGCAGCUCAAACGUUUAAAAAACUUCAUUAAUUAUUUUCUUUUAUUGAAACCACACUCAUCCAUCAAAGUAGCUCUCAAAGUCUAAUUUCCAUCACCUUCUGAUUCUCAAAGUCUUCUUCUUCGUCUUAUAUUGCACGCCACAUAUUAGUAGACAUACUACAUCAACUCUGUAGAAAGAAACAAUCUAUAGUAGUUGAUGUACAAUGUUAUUAUGUAAAUGUAUAAUAUCAAAAUUAGGAAUAGAAAUCACGCCCUAAUAAUUAACCCUCUGCAGGGGUUAUUAAAGAAAGCAGCUUAUAACUUUAGUUGCUGAACAUUUGUGUGGGCCAAAUUCAAUUUUACACAUCAUUACUAGAUUUACACAUGGUAUUAGACAUCAGUACUAGUAUAAGAUGUUAAUCAAGUUUUGGAAUUUCUUUUAUUUCAGAAAACAAGUUUUUAACUCUCUUUUUUUUUUGUGGUAUUAAUUAUUUAUAUCACGCAUUUGAGCUUUAAAAUUAGCUCUAAAUAAAAGUUGAUUUUCGCUCAAAGAAACAAUGAUGUAUAAGAAGAUUUUCAGAACUGAAUUAUUUCUUUCCAUUUUUACAGUUCCAUUCAAGAACCGAAAGCAGCUCACAAAGACUCACUACAUCAUCUUUCAAUUCUCAUAGUGUUGGUCUUUGUCUUCUGCUGCUCAAAAAUUCUAUUACAGCCCACAUAUCAGUAUCAUAUACCUAAUUAUAAAUAGUAUUUAACACUUAACACCAUUAAAGAUUUGUCUCAGAGACUUACUUCCAUCACCUUAUGGUUCUCAAACUCUUCGUCUUCUAAUGCUCCAAAAGUUCUAUUAGUGCAGGCCACAUAUUGGUAAACAGACUACAAUUCAUCCAAAAUGACCCUCUUAUUGGACACUUUGAACACCUCUGUCUGUAUAUGCAUUGGAGAAGAAUUAUCAGCUCGUUAAAAUAACCUCUUCGCAUCAACUCUAUGGAAAGAAGCAAUUCAUACCUAAAGUACAAUGUUUGGAUAAAAUUAGGGAUAGCAACCGCACGCUAAUUUUUUAGUUGAAGCAGGCUACCUUAGUGUAAUUAACUGAACAUCCCCGUAAUUUCUUGACAGGCCACAAUUAAGGAAGUUUACAGAAUUACAUUCCAGAAGUAGCUCCCUGAGACAGAUUCGCAUCAUCUUUCAAUCUUCAAAGUUCUUUAUACUUAUAUUAUAUUUCAUGUUUUAUUGUAAUGAACAUAGCAGUUUCCUGUUCAGUAAUAUUCCAGGCUCAGGUUCUUCAUUCCAAGUCUCUGUUACAUGUUUGCUACUAAAACGUAUUAAACAGUUAUUAGUUUAUGACUGUAUUCCAUCUUGAAAGGAGAUCUCAAAGACUCAUUCCCAUAAUCUUCAGAAUCUCAAGUCUUGAUGAACUUGGCCUUCAUCAUAUUUGUACUCUUGUAAUUCCAUAUUAAUCAAGUUUAAAUAUUAAAAUUUUUAAUUUUAGUAAAUUUGUAAAAAUAGUAAAAUUUGUCUUAUUUAUAAUAUUUAUAAAUCUCUUACUUUCCUGUUACUGUAUUCAACUUAAUAAUUUUUACAAACACUGUGCAUCACAUAAGUUAUGUAAAUUUAGAACAAAUUAUGUCCAAUUUAUUUAAGAGAGAUUGUUAUAUUGUUUUUACUUUAAAAUUAAUGGUAUCUUUUAUUUUUAAUAUAAUUUACAGCUAAAAAUAUUUGAUAUAUUUUCACACUGCUUCUUAUUUUUGUAAUAUGACUAAACAUAUCUUAAAUACACUUUUUUCCUAUAUAUAUGCUAGCCUCUCGAGAUGUUGAAUAGAUCAUCCCAAACAAAAAAAUUUAAGGGAAAUAGAAAAUGAGGAAUUCCAUCCUCUGUUUUUCCACCAUCAGUUUGUUGCUCAUCUUCCUGCAGUUGCAGCACAACCUAGUGGCUUCUUCAUUAAGUCCCCACUUGCAGAAACUUGCCUUGUUCCACUUUAACCAAACCUUAACAAUCAGUACUACUAGCUGGGAUUGCGAGUACUAUUCCUACGAUGGAUAUUACGAAAUUCCUUCACGGGCAAAGACAAAGAAUUGGAGCAUGAGUUCCGAUCACUGCACAUGGGAGGGAGUUAGCUGCGACGACAAGACAGGGGACGUUAUCGGACUGGAUUUAAGUUGCAGUCAGCUGGAAGGAGCCAUUCUUUCUAACAGCACCCUCUUCCAGCUCUCUCAACUCCGCUUCCUCAAUCUUUCUCACAACGGCUUUUACAAUCAGUUCCCUCAGGAAUUUGGUUUCUUUGCAAAAGGUUUGACGCAUCUCAAUCUCUCUCGUACUGGAUUAUCAGGGAGAGUUCCCUCUGGAAUCUCUCAUUUGUAUAAACUGGUCUCACUUGAUCUCGGUCGCAACUAUAGGGCUUGGGCUAAACUUGAAGAAGAAGUGUUUAAAUCACUGUUGCAGAAUUUAACUCAUCUUGAAGUGCUUAAUCUUGAAGGGGUUAGCAUCUCCUCUGUUUUGCCCCUGAAUAUCUCUACUUCUUUAAGAUUUCUUGCUCUUGCGGGAACUGAAAUACACGGAGUAGUACCUCAAGAGGUUUUCCACCUUCCCAACUUGGAAUUUCUUCGUUUAUCAUAUAAUGACCACCUGAGAGUAACAUUACCCAAAGUUAAGUGGGGAAGUAGUGCUACUCUCCAACACCUUCAACUUUCAGGCGUCAACAUAGAUGGAGGUAUGCCUGACUCAAUAGGCUUUUUGGAGUCAUUAGUCAGUUUACAUCUGAUCCAGUGUAAUUUGUCUGGGCCGAUACCAAAAUUCAUUGGGCAACUCGUUCAACUUACUCACUUGGGCCUGGCUGCUAAUAAUCUCAGUGGCCCAAUUCUAACUUUUUUAACACGCCUUGCAGACUUCAGAUCUAUCUUCCCUUGAGCAUAACAAUUUUACUGGUCCGUUUCCCUCUUUUCUUGCCCACUCCAGUAAACUAGUUGAGUUGUAUCUUCAUAAUAAUAGCUUUACUGGAUCCCUACCUCGUUCGUUGUUUCACCAUCCAUCCUUAGAGAUCUUGAAUCUGGCAUAUAAUGCAUUCACGGGUCCACUACAUGAAUUUCAUUCUUCUUUGUCACGAUUGCGAUCUUUUUAUUGUUCCAGCAAUUUACUCAAUGGAUCCAUUCCACAUUCAUUUUCUCAACUUGUGAAUCUCACUGAACUAGAUCUUUCAUCAAACAAUUUCACCGGGGUUUUGGAUUUGGAAAUGUUUUCAGGCCUCAAAUCUCUAGGAAUUCUUCAUCUUUCUUAUAAUAGUCUUUCAGUGAGAACUACAACUAUGGCCACUCUCCCUCCUACGCUUAACGACUUGGCCUUGUCAUCUUGCAACAUGAAAGAGUUUCCUCACUUUUCAAGAGAUGCAAACAUCUUCCUCGAUUUUGUAGACCUAUCAAACAACAAAAUUGAAGGGGAAAUUCCACACUGGAUUGGGUCGGUGGGGAGGUACCCUUUCUAUCCAAUCCAUUAUCUGAAUCUUUCUCACAACGGACUAAUAUGCGGUCUUGAGCAACUGCCUUGGAGUCAUGUUGAAUUUCUUGAUCUCCAAUACAAUAAGCUGAAUGGAUCAUUGCCCACCUUGAUGUGUAAUUCCAGCUCUCUCCGGGUUCUAAAUCUCUCUCACAACAAGUUGAGUGGUGUACUCCCCAUUUGCCAUACAAAUUUGACUUCGCUUCGCGUGUUGGAUCUGCGGAGGAAUAAAAUUCAAGGAAACAUUCCAGCAACCUUGUCAAAUUUCCGUAACCUGGAAACUGUUAAUUUGAAUGGAAACCGAUUAGAAGGAAGCAUUCCUUCUUCUUUUGCUGGAUUUGAUUCUUUAGCCGUUCUUGAUCUUGGAAAUAAUCAGAUAAAUGAUACAUUCCCC